RNAcentral lists this long non-coding RNA (1726 nucleotides) under Homo sapiens (human). RNAcentral describes it as "non-protein coding lnc-C15orf39-1:1". Lineage: Eukaryota; Metazoa; Chordata; Mammalia; Primates; Hominidae. The record is from RNAcentral.
ACCAGGUCCACUGGACACCAAACGUGGAGGCUGUAUUAGCCCGUUUUGUGUUGCUCUAGAGGAAUACCUGAGACUGGGUUAUUUAUUUAUUUAUUUAUUUAUUUAUUUAUUUAUUUAUUUUUGAGAUGAAGUCUAGCUCUGUCACCCAGGCUGGAGUGCAGUGGUACGAUCUCAGGCUGCUGCAACCUCUGCCUCCUGGGUUCAGGCUAUUCUCCUGCCUCAGCCUGCUGAGUAGCUGGGAUUACAGGCAUGGACCACCAUGCCUGGCUAAUUUUUUGUAUUUUUAGUAGAGGCAGGGUUUUGAGAUAGAGUUUCGCUCUUGUAGCCCAGGCUACAGUGCAGUGGUGCAAUAUCGGCUCACUGCAACCUCCGCCUCCAGGGUUCAAGCAAUUCUCAUGCCUCAGCCACCCAAGUAGCUGGGAUUAUAGGCGUGCACCACCAUGCCUGGCUAAUUUUGUAUUUUUAGUAGAGACAGGGUUUUACCAGGUUGGCCAGCCUAGUCUUGAACUCCUGAUCUCAAGUAAUUUACUCGCCUUGGCCUCUCAAAGUGCUGGGAUUACAGGCGUGAGCACCGCUCCUGGCCCUGAGACUGGGUAAUUUAUAAAAGAAGUUUAUUUGCCUCAUAGUUCUGCAGGCUGUACAAGCAUCUGCUAGGCUUCUGGUGAAGCGUCAGGAAGCUUUUACUCCUGGCGGGAGGCAAAGAGGGAGCAGACGUGUCGCAUGGUGAGAGAGGGAGCAAGAGAGAGGAGGCAUCAGGCUCUCCUGUGAACUAAUAGAAAACUCACUCAUUGAAUCACUUGAACCCAGGAGGUGGAGGUUGCAGUGAGCCAAGAUCGCGCUACUGCACUCCAGCCUGGGCUGUGAGUGAGACUCUGUCUCAAAAAAAAAGGAAGGAAAGAAAGAGAAAAAAAAAUUAGAAAUUAGAAAACUCACUCAUUACCAUGGGGAGGGCACUAAGCCAUUCAUGAGGGAUCCCCCACCAUGACCCAAACACCUCACACUAUAGGCCCCACCUCCAGCACUGGGGAUCACAUUUCAACACGAGAUGUGGAUGGGACAAGUAUCCACACUAUGUCAGAGGCCUCCCUGUCAUCAGAGUCUUCUGUCCUCGGUUCAGGUGCAUGCUGGCUUCCAUGCCUGGCUUCCUAGGAAGUCAUCUUGGCCCCAUGGGGUUGGGCCGGGCCACUAGGCUGAGGGUUGGAGCCCUAUCUCUCCUAGUCCCAGCCUGGGUCUCCAUCACUGACUAGCCCGCUCUGCUUGCUGCAUUCUCUCCACACCUGUUCCCUGUAGCCCAGGGGUCAGUCUGGGUGCAGGCCUGGGUAGAGGUCCAGGAGCAGAUUCUGCCCCCCAGCUCAUACCUCCUGUGCACCAUGGCAGCCAAAAUGCACCAGCAUGACCAGGAGUGCUGGCUUGUCCCUGUAAUCCCAGUGUUUUUGGGAGGCUGAGGUGGAAAGAUCACUUGAGACCAGCCUAGGCAACAUAGCCAGACCCUGUCUCUACAAAAAAUAAAAUUAGGCAUGGUGGCGUGUGCCUGUAGUCCCAGUAUAGCAGGACAAGCCGCAGACAAAACUUCGUAGACACCGAGUUGUAGAAGAAGGGCUUUAUUCAGCUGGGAGCAUCGGCAAGCUACUGCCUUAAAAUCCGAGCUGAGUGCACAAUUUUUGUCCCUUUUAAGGCCUCACAACACUAAAGAUUUCACAUGAAAGGGUCGUGAUUGAUUUGAGCA